This is a non-coding RNA of Paramormyrops kingsleyae, 327 nucleotides long. NCBI's taxonomy places the organism in Eukaryota, Metazoa, Chordata, Actinopteri, Osteoglossiformes, Mormyridae. The record is from RefSeq and is a predicted model, not a curated record.
ACCCAUGCUGCCUUGUGCAGGACCACAGCCAGAAGUUUUGGAAGAGUCCUGGGAUAAAACGUAAUUGCUGUCUGAUGGCUGAACAAAAAUCUAAUCCUGUAUGGCAGCAUUUCACAAAGCCAACACCAGGAAAAGCCAGGUGCAAUAUCUGCAGCAGACUGGUGAGCUUGGGAGCUGAAGAAUGAGUUUGCUGCUAAAGAGAUUCUGAUGCUGCUAUCUUUAUUGUUUAUAAGUUUAAGUUGUUUAUAAGUUGUAUUGUGUUUUUGUUAUUUAAGUUUAUAUUUAAAUUUACACAAGUCAGUAUUCAAUAAAUGCUACGUUGAGAAA